AUAUAAUAUUUCCGUUUCAUUCGUAUAAUAAUAUAGCAUUGUCUUAAAUUUACCGGUCAUACGUUAUCGUCUCAUAUACGUUUUGGUCUCCGGCCGUAUAAUUAUUAUUGUUACGACAAAAUACUCGCGAUGGUAUUAUCUUUUGUUAACGGUGUACUUACAACACAAUGGUUUCUUGUUGUAGCACGUCCAGACGUACGGCGUAAAGUAUUCGAGGAACAUUGGACAAUCGGCACUGUCGUAGCACCAGUCGUGCAUUUUGCAGCAGCUAAAAAUUGUCCGGAAACAACAGAGGAAAACAAUAUGAGUGCAUAUUCGUCGUCGUCUGACGGACAGAUCUAUAUAUCGUGUUUAUAUUAACUUGUCUAUGGGAUCAACAGGUGAUCCAGAGCCCAGGAACCCGCAGUAACAGCCGUAGCCGAGAAUUUUCAAGUGGGCACCCGUAAGUAUCUGCCAUGACCGGGUGGAGGACCGGCACUUCUCUCCGGACACCGUGACUUAUCCGAAGAAAAAUGCCACCCACGGCUGGGUUUGAACCGGCGCCGGUGUGCGUCGCAACAGAAUCCUUAAUCUACUCAGCCUAUCCGUCCCCCUUAUAGUGACACUUUGAUUCUUCCGGAAUAUGAAAUUAUAAAUG
This 637-nucleotide unclassified non-coding RNA is filed under the name Acyrthosiphon pisum (pea aphid). Its description in RNAcentral is "zinc finger protein 62 homolog, transcript variant X2". The record is from RNAcentral. Lineage: Eukaryota; Metazoa; Arthropoda; Insecta; Hemiptera; Aphididae.